RNAcentral lists this ribosomal RNA (301 nucleotides) under uncultured bacterium. RNAcentral describes it as "partial 16S ribosomal RNA". It matches the Rfam family "Bacterial small subunit ribosomal RNA", at positions 509 to 808 of the family's 1533-position model. The record is from RNAcentral.
CAGUGCCGCGGUAAUACGUAGGUGGCAAGCGUUAUCCGGAAUUAUUGGGCGUAAAGCGCGCGCAGGCGGUUUCUUAAGUCUGAUGUGAAAGCCCACGGCUCAACCGUGGAGGGUCAUUGGAAACUGGGGAACUUGAGUGCAGAAGAGAAAAGCGGAAUUCCACGUGUAGCGGUGAAAUGCGUAGAGAUGUGGAGGAACACCAGUGGCGAAGGCGGCUUUUUGGUCUGUAACUGACGCUGAGGCGCGAAAGCGUGGGGAGCAAACAGGAUUAGAUACCCCCGUAGUCCCUGUCUCUUAUACA